RNA transcript from Homo sapiens (human), 1737 nucleotides. It is a transcript of the gene named MAP2K1 pseudogene 2, with no coding region annotated. NCBI's taxonomy places the organism in Eukaryota, Metazoa, Chordata, Mammalia, Primates, Hominidae. The record is from RefSeq and is marked validated. The transcript has a single exon.
CUCUUGGACUCCGGCUGCAGCGUCAGCCUCCCUCGGGCCUCGGCAGCGGCGGCGGCUCGCUCGCCUCAGCCCCAGCGCCCCUCGGCUACCCUCGGACCAGGCCCGCAGCGCCGCCCGCCCUCGGCCGCCCCGACGCCGGCCUGGGCCGCGGUCGCAGCCCCGGGCUCGCGUAGGCGCCGAACGCUCCCGGCCCGCCCACUACGGGCCCAGGCUAGAGGCGCCGCCGCCACCGGCCCGCGGAGCCCGGAUGCUGGCCCGGAGGAAGCCGAUGCUGCCGGCGCUCACCAUCAACCCUACCAUCGCCGAGGGCCCGUCCCCAACCAGCGAGGGCGCCUCCGAGGCAAACCUGGUGGACCUGCAGAAGAAGCUGGAGGAGCUGGAACUUGACGAGCAGCAGAAGCGGCUGGAAGCCUUUCUCACCCAGAAAGCCAAGGUCGGCGAACUCAAAGACGAUGACUUCGAAAGGACCUCAGAGCUGGACGCGGGCAACGGCGGGGUGGUCACCAAAGUCCAGCACAGACCCUCGGGCCUCAUCAUGGCCAGGAAGCUGAUCCACCUUGAGAUCAAGCCGGCCAUCCGGAACCAGAUCAUCCGCGAGCACCAGGUCCUGCACGAGUGCAACUCACCGUACAUCGUGGGCUUCUACGGGGCCUUCUACUGUGACAGGGAGAUCAGCAUCUGCAUGGAGCACAUGGAUGGCGGCUCCCUGGACCAGGGGCUGAAAGAGGCCAAGAGGAUUCCCGAGGACAUCCUGGGGAAAGUCAGCAUUGCGGUUCUCCGGGGCUUGGCGUACCUCCGAGAGAAGCACCAGAUCAUGCACCGAAAUGUGAAGCCCUCCAACAUCCUCGUGAACUCUAGAGGGGAGAUCAAGCUGUGUGACUUCGGGGUGAGCGGCCAGCUCAUCGACUCCAUGGCCAACUCCUUCGUGGGCACGCGCUCCUACAUGGCUCCGGAGCGGUUGCAGGGCACACAUUACUCGGUGCAGUCGGUCAUCUGGAGCAUGGACCUGUCCCUGGUGGAGCUGGCCAUCGAAAGGUACCCCAUCCCCCCGCCCGACGCCAAGGAGCUGGAGGCCAUCUUUGGCCAGCCCGUGGUCGACAGGGAAGAAGGAGAGCCUCACAGCAUCUCCUCUUGGCCAGGGUCCCCCGGGCGCCCCAACAGCGGUUACGGGAUGGACAGCCUGCCCGCCAUGGCCAUCUUCGAACUGCUGGACUAUAUUGUGAAAGAGCCGCCUCCUAAGCUGCCCAACGGUGUGUUCACCCCCGACUUCCAGGAGUUUGUCAAUAAAUGCCUCAUCAAAAACCCAACGGAGCGGGCGGACCUAAAGAUGCUCACAAACCACGCCUUCAUCAAGCGGUCCGAGGUGAAAGAAGCGGAUUUUGCCUGCUAGUUGUGUAAAACCCUGGGGCUGAACCAGCCCGGCACACCCACGCGCACCGCCGUGUAACAGUGGCCAGGCUCCCCGCGUCCCGCUGGUGACCUGCCCACCGUCCCUGUCCACGCCCCGCCCUUCCAGCUGAGGACAGGCUGGCGCCUCCACCCACCCUCCUGCCUCACCCCUGCGGAGAGCACCGUGGCGGGGCGACAACUGCGCACGCAGGAACGGGGGUCUCCUCUCCUGCUGGUCCCUGCCGGCGUGCCUCUAGGGACGGGCGACGCUGCUGUGUGUGGUCUCAGAGCCUCUGCUUCCUUAGGUUACAAAACAAAACAGGGAGAGAAAAACCAAAAAAAAAAAAA